UACAGAGGGCAAGCGUUAUUCGGAAUUAUUGGGCGUAAAGGGCGCGUAGGCGGCAUCGCAAGUGGAAGGUGAAGUCCCUCGGCUCAACCGAGGAACUGCCUUUCAAACUGCUUGGCUUGAGUCCGGGAGAGGUGAGUGGAAUUCCCAGUGUAGCGGUGAAAUGCGUAGAUAUUGGGAGGAACACCAGUGGCGAAGGCGGCUCACUGGACCGGAACUGACGCUGAGGCGCGAAAGCGUGGGGAGCAAACGGG
RNAcentral lists this ribosomal RNA (251 nucleotides) under uncultured bacterium. Its description in RNAcentral is "partial 16S ribosomal RNA". It matches the Rfam family "Bacterial small subunit ribosomal RNA", at positions 526 to 776 of the family's 1533-position model. The record is from RNAcentral.